Non-coding RNA from Punica granatum (pomegranate), 6027 nucleotides. Lineage: Eukaryota; Viridiplantae; Streptophyta; Magnoliopsida; Myrtales; Lythraceae. The record is from RefSeq and is a predicted model, not a curated record.
ACCGGGCUUCGGCCCCCUUUACAAAAAUGUACCAGGGACCAAAGUUCCAAUAUGGGCUUACACACCGCCAUCCACUACACAGGGCAGAGCACUGGAAAAGGGCCCAAAAGUUUUUAUGUGUUCUGGGUCUCAAACAAGCUGAUGAAGCGGCGGCAGCAGCAGCAGAACUAUAGAAGAUGGCAACGGUGCUCCGGACUCCGGAGCUCCUGCCUCCCUCUUCGACCGGAGCAUCAUCAGUUAUUGUGGUGUGUUAGCUAAUGUUUUAGGAAACCUUCGACCGGGGUCUGUACUCGGGGGAAACAAAGGUCCAGGUAUGUCGGGUUCGAAAGCAUCAAGUGCAGUUGGGUACAACAGACACAUGCACACGCUCACACUUCUCGGAAGUUUUGUUGUCGAUUUUCCUCCAUUCAUUUCUUCAUGGUCUCUCGAUCUGUUAAAGUGGUUCGAAUUUGUAUAGUAGGUAAUUGUUGAUGAAAUCAUAGAUUGGUUCGGUUUGGGAAACCUCGAAGAUUUGAUUUUCGCUUCUCUUUGUCUCUAUGGUGAUGGUAAAUCUUAUUUAAUUUCUGGAUAAUCAGUUCUCGGAUUCUGAUGAAUCAUUGAACCAUUUCUUGCUGUAGUGAAAUGUCGGAAUUAGUAUGCCUUUUCCUACAUGCAUAUUUGCCAAACCCCAUUAUAUUCCAGUAGAUGCGCAGAGAAACCCGAUAAUAUUAUGCAAGGACCAACCGAAACGAACUAACCGUGUUUGAGACUUGCAAAUAUUUAAGCAGAGGUCCUACCCCGCGGUACAUUAAACACACCAGAAGUUCAAAGACACAGGGGAACUGAUGAGAAUAAAACCAUGGUACUGAUAAGUGAUAAGCACAGAGGAAUCUCUCGUUUGGUGAUGAGAUUCAACCAUACUUCAAUUUUCGUCUCUGGCAUCUCCAAGGUUGAUGAUGUUAUUAAUGGUAAUUCUUGGGAGCGGAGAUGCACAAGGCUGAUUGGAAUGCCCACAAAUUGCCAAGCUGCAGAAAGAAUUAUCCCUGAUAAUGCUGCUGCAGACCAAGUUGGAUGGUUUCCUGAUAAACAAGGGGAGUUCUCUGUUUCUGAUACCUGGAAUCACCUGCGAGUGAAAGCAGAAAAAGGUUGGUUGGCGUGGUGCUAUUUGGUUUGAUGCAUGUAUCCGAAACAUAGCUUCAUAUUGUGGCUCGCCAUUCUGAGCAAACUAGCAACUGGAGACCAAAUUGUCAGUUUGGGAACUGGCUCUGGAGAAGUUUCGUGUCUUUUCGUAAUAACUCAGAAGAAUCUAGGACUCAUCGCUUCUUCCAACGCCCUUUUGCUCAGAUGAUUUGGAAGCAGGCUCUUAUUCUUCCUGGAAUUGACAAAGCAGUUGUUGAGGGGCAUGCUGAGUUGCAGUAGAUCGUCACCUCUUAGAAGGGUAAAGCUCUUGAUAAGGUAGUUGCCAAACUUACUUUCUCGAUUUCUAGAUUUGUAGAUCACAUGAUAGGUUAGGUUCAGAUUAAGGCAGGACCAGCAGAAGAGACAGUGCUUAGACAAUUCUCAGUUCUUAUUACUAAUGGACGUCGACCGUUAUAGAUAUUCUUUUGUAUGGUGUAAGGAUGACACAGUCUUGCAUGUUGCGCCUUUAAUUGCUCACGAAUGCUCUGUCUUUUAUGAAUGCUCUGUCUUUAUAAUUGGAGAUCUGUUGUAUUAGUUAUGGUAUGAGGAUGGGGAAUUACUGAUUGUUCUGCGAACUUCAUGCAUCUCGAGUUUAUCAUUUUGACCUUGGUCGCAUCAACAUAUGACAUUCAAAUAAUUAUUAAGAGUGGGGGCAUAGGCUUUGACAUGGCAAUUUUGGUUUAUAACACUUGGAAGUGCAAACAUAAAAUGUCGAUAUAACUCUACCUUACUACUUUCUGGUGUCUGCUAGUUUAGCUAGUUUCAAGUUACUGCAUGGCUGGCCUGGUUACGCAUUGAUAAAGCACCUCAACAAGCUUCGUUGUGUUGUCACCACUCAUUUAUUUCUAUGUAAUGUGUUUGACGGGAUUGCUUGUUUGCAAGACUUGGAUUGUGGAUUGGCUAGGUUACAUUGGCUUGGAUUACGGUUAUGAAUCUUGUUUUGGCACCAGUAUCAUGUCAUGUGAUGUGUUAAGGUGGCAUGACUUCUUCUGUGUUUCACUAGAGGAAUAUACAGUGGGGAAUCUGGAAUCUCGAUCCUUAUUUAGAUCCCUCCUAUUCUGAGCAGCUAUGGUCAGUUGUUUCAAUCCCAGAUCAUAUUCUGGGAUUUUCAAGCCAGCGUUACUUGUCUAUAUUCUUGCUCUGCUGGUCAUGGAGCUUCUAUUUCUGCUACUCGUUAGCAGUUCUACAAGAGUAUAAGAAUCUCUUGAAGGUGUGCAUACAGGUGUAUGUUUGAUCCUUAUUCGCAUUUGCGUAUCUGGCCUCUGACCUUAUUAUGAACUAGUCAUUAUACCUGCACAUUUUGCAUGUGCUAAUUGAAAAAUGUAGUAUGAUUGAACUAUCUGUUUACCUUUCGUUUCCUUACGGAAGUUAUUAAUCACUUUUACAUUUUGUGGUUUUUAUUGCAUUCUAUAUCAAUCACUUCUUCAUUUUGUUCCCAUACUUUUUCUUUUAUACACCAAAUUUGUUUUACUUAAUAUAGUCCUUGGAUUAUUUUUUUUUAACCCUGAUUGAACCUGUUUUCUUUAGAUAUGGUCUCUCUCAAUUUCUUUUAUUUUAUUAUUGUCCAUUUCCUUUAUUGCGUUUCCAAAAUCUUGAUUACAUCCUGGGAGGAGUGAUCCUUACUCCCUAGUUAUGGGAUUAAUUGGAUGGCUCUUUAAGUGAAUUGAAUAGACUGCUUCUGAGUGAAAGUGAACUACCGUUCUUCUUCUUGACGUAUAAGCUAUGACAACCUCUCUUGCAAUUACAGGCCAAAGGUAAGCAGCUCGUAUAGGCUUUGAAAGGCAGAGUAUUGAUAAUAGUCACUGGGAUUGAAUAAGAUUGGGGAGUGCAAGGCAAUGCAUGGGAGGGAAGGUGAGGAGAGGGUUAAGCAGGUAUUGAAUCCACAUAUGCGAGCUUUGUUGUCUUUGUAGGAGCUGUGGAACGGCGGCGCAUUAUUAUUUCCUGACUCCUGUUUACGGGACUUCUUUGGCAGGUAUUCUCUUCUUAAGCUUCUGCCAUGGGUACUUCAUGCCUCAUUUCAAUGAUUGUUAUCUCUAUCAGGAGUUCUUCAUUAUUGAUUUGUUCUGUAGCUUGAUUUCAAUGACUGUUCUGCUCAACUAUACCUUCUUCAGUGUACUUUGAAUUGUUGAGGAUUAGUUUCAGUUCAUCUACAGUGCAUAGUUCAUUGAGCACUUGAAGUUUCUUUUGUUCAUGUUUGGAAUUCAAGCAGUUCUUAUUUGAAAGAAACAUGGAAAUUUUUCUUGUUCAUGGAAGGAAGUCUGCAGAGAACCAAUGUGGCAUUAGACAUAGCGAGCAUAGUCAGUUUUUAUGGUAAGGAAACCUAGGGAUGGUCAAAAUAUUCGGAUGGAAAGUGUAAUUUUUCAGUAAAAUACAGUUCAGUUGUCAAAAGAAACCAUCUGAGCUGAGACAUUUAAUUGAUGAUGGUAUUGGGGUCAUUACCAGGGGUUGCGGGGGGUUGCAGUAUGAAGAGUUUUCUGAAGCACAUGAAUUACAUUAUAUAUAUAUAUAUGCAUGUAUGCAUAUUGCAAUGUGCAUUUUGUAAUGAUAUAGCUAAAUUAUUGUCAUUGUUAGUGUUAGUGAAGGCUCAAGCAAAAGCCAAAAAGCAAAAAUUGGUCAUGGAAAACUUCAAAGUCAAGCAUGCAAAGAUGCAGUUUGUAUGCUUCAUUCUUUUCACCUACCAUCUAUGACAUAUUGAUAUCCAAAUCUCAGUCUUUGUCUGUCAGUUAUUAUCGUUUCUUGAGAUAUUCUAUAGAAUUUAUGUGUAGGGGAGAUCGAAGCAAGAGGGAAUGCCUAGAUGAUGUUUUUCUUCCUUGGCUUUGGUCUUUGAAAGUUGAUUUUAUUUCUAAGUUGACAUAAAAAUUUAUUGCCCCAAAAAAACAAAGACAGCGGGCAGAAAGGUUUGUCAAUCAGUUCUUUUUGUCAGUAAUAUAUGCUCUUCCCCCUAAAUAUAAUUUACUUGCCUCUUCUACUUUCACAAUUAGUAGAAAGAAAUAAAGUUUUCAGUGUGACCUAGGGUAAGAGAGUACUUGGAUAUAUGAGAAUCAGGGCAUUGCUCUGUAAAAGCAGUCUUAUUCUGGUUUCUUGCAUGAAUUAUUUCUUUUUUUUUAUAAUACUUUUAUGCCCCGACAUUGUUCAAAAUUGUUAGUGAAUCACGAAAAGGUCUAUAUUGGAUGGCUAAAUUCAAUCUUUCUAGUGUCAAUCCUCAAUAUGCUUGUAAAUUCAAGGGGAUGCUGAUAAUCUUGAAACGGUGUAAAACUGUCCCAUCUGUAUAUCUGUUAGUGGGGAAUUUCUCAGACAUGCUCUUAUCAACGUAUGAUGCUGAUCACCAUUGAUUCUCAGAUUAGUCUUAUUCAUGAGCUCUUCUAACUCAAGAAAUAGCUCACUAUGGAGCUAGAGCAGCUCAGAUUAGUGAGUAUUCUUAACUCAUGAAAAGACCAGUCUUUAUAUAUACAUGCAUAUAGAUGUACUUUUAUGUAAAUAGAUAUGGACAGUAGUAUAUAGGAAUGUCCAGCUAUACUCAGUCUUUUGCCAUCUGUAAGAUAUUCAGGCCAACCGAAUCGGAUCCGCCUUGUGGAACCAGACACGACCCGACUCGAGUAAACUGACAAGACUGGUUAGUUUCUAUCAGUUGUAACAUGCUAUUUCUCAUGGUGGGUGGUUAUUGCAGAUAUUUGUGGGGCCCAUUAAUCGGGUAAUAUUCGAAGUAACCACACAAAGUAUAAGCAGUGACCACCAGAUACAUGAAGAAAAGGAUCAAUGAGUGAUUUUGCUCCCGAAUAAUGAGAAUGCGUGACCGCCAGGGCGACAUUCUUGUCACCUAGUGGAAUCCCACUGGCGUCCCUUCGCGGAGACAUUCAGAAGCUGAGUUCAUGAUCAUUCUUCCUGAUCUUGGAGGCGCUAAUUGGCAGCUUCAUUCAGCUACCUGGGUCAUUCUCUAUCUUGGAUUUCUCGGUGACAUUAAUCAAGGAGUACAAUCUGGAUUUUUGUUCCAGAAGUUGAGUGCAGAGGAAGAAAGAGGUUCGAGGCUCAGAAGGAAGAAGUUUGAGGUGGCCACUCGAUUAACAGUUCAAUCGUUGAGGAAAGAAAAAGUUCGAGGGUGGUCACUCCAAUUACAGUGGAGGAAGAAGUUUGAGGCUUUGGAGGAAGAAAUUGGAGGCUAGGCACUCGAAUUACAGCUCAAUCGUAGAGGAAGGAAGAAGUUUCGGGGGAGGGAAAGAAGCCUUAAUCACUGGCCACUCCAAUUACAAUUCAAUUGCAGAGGAAAAAGAUGAACAAAGAUCGGAAAUCGAGCAUGAGCUAUCAUUCCAAUUGUAGUUCGAGCAUUUUCGGAGCUAGGUCGAUUCUUUGUUAUUGUGGACAAAGAGCAUGUCGGAUGAUCUCGAAGAUCAUUGCAAAUCAUGAUCAACCAUUUUACAGGUGUCCUUUAUGAAAGGAUAAAGCUCGUACCUGUGGGUAUUUUAAGUGGGAAGACCAAUUGCAGAAUACUUCUUCAGUUGAAGACCAAGUUCAGAUGAAUGUGAUGUUGCUAGAAGGCAGGAUUGUGGAGUGUGAGCUUCAAUUGAAGAAGCUGGCUCGGCUGUGGUGGAUUUUGACAAUUGUAGUGGGUUUGUUGGUUGUGAGGAUUAUUGUGUACUGAGCUUGUGAUGCUCGGCUGAGCUUGUUGGUUGUGAGGAUUGUUGUGGGGUGGUUCUGAGCUUGUUUAUCGAUGGAUUGUGGGUAGUUUUAGUUAGCUAGGAUAUGUUGGAUUGUUGUGGUAGUUUUAGAGCAAUGCGUCGGAAGUUUUUGCAAGUUGCUAUCCAACUCAGCCCUGUGUUUGACUUGGUUUGUAUUGAUGUUGGUAAUGAAAUUCGUUUGUCAAGUUCUUGUCCA